GGGUGGAACCCAGACCAGGGUUCAAGGUCAAUGGACUGGGCCACAAAGGGGGUGCUUCAGAGCUCCAGAGUGCCCUGUGCAGCUACCCUGUACACCAUGGAGGAUUCUUCAAGCCUUCUUCAUAGGGGUCUCCAAGUGUUUGCCGUCCUGCAAUGGAUCUUUUCCUUCUUGGGACUUGGCCAGGUGUGCCUGGUGGCCUUGCUGCUCGCUGCCCUGGGCCGCACCUGGAUCCUGAUGGUCCUCUACCUGACCUGGCUCUACAGAGACAGAGACACACCCAGGGCUGGAGGCCGCCGCUCAGCCUGGGUCCGCAACUGGGCCAUCUGGAGACACUUCCGUGACUACUUUCCCAUCACGCUGGUUAAAACUGCGGAGUUGGACGCCUCCCAGAACUAUCUCUUUGGCUUCCACCCUCAUGGGGUCCUGGUCGUGGGAGCCUUCGCCAACUUCUGCACUGAGGCUACAGGCUUCUCCAGGCUCUUCCCUGGUCUGUGCCCGCACCUGCUCAUGCUGCCCUGUUGGUUCCGAGUCCCUUUCUUCCGGGACUACAUCAUGACCAGUGGCUUGGUCUCCUCUGACAAGGCCAGCGCCGCCCAUCUGCUGUCCCGUCCUGGGGGCGGCCAGGUGGCUGUCCUUGCAGUGGGAGGGCCCCUAGAAGCGCUGGAGGCAAAGCCCGGUGCCCUGAGCCUGCGGAUCCGGAAUCAGAAGGGAUUCGUUAAGCUGGCCCUGGAACAUGGGGCCUCCCUGGUGCCUGUCUUUUCCUUCGGGGAGAACGAGGUCUUCCAGCAGUUCCCGAAUCCGCCCGGUUCGUGGGUGCGGAGGGUGCAGGUGGCGCUGCAGCCCUUCCUGCGCGUGGCCCUGCCGCUGUUCCACGGCCGCGGGGGGCUCCCGCUGCCCUUCCGCGCGCCUAUCCGCACAGUCGUGGGCGCGGCGAUCCCGGUGCAGCGAACUCCGCGGCCCAGCCGCGCGCAGGUGGACGAGCUGCACGCGGUCUACGUGGAGCGCCUCACGCAGCUCUUCGAGGAGCACAAGGCUCGCUACGGGAUCCCCGCAGACCGGCACCUCGAGCUCACCUAGGCGGCCCCCCACCCCCGGCUCCGCCCUGUGCCCUUGGCGACUGCGGGCUGGGGAGUGGAAUUAAAGAUUGUCAAGUUCCUCACCCACGCAGUGUCCCUUCCACCUCUUUCCAGCUGGUGUCCAGCUUCUGCCUCCCUCUUAUCCUUCCUGACCCUCUGAAGGUGAAGACAGGAGAGCUGCCCCAGGAUGGGAAUAUGUGCUGGGUGCCAGCCCACAUGGUCUCCUGGGCACUGGACUCGUCUGUGAU
Heterocephalus glaber (naked mole-rat) is the source of this 1324-nucleotide RNA transcript. It is a transcript of the gene named monoacylglycerol O-acyltransferase 3, with no coding region annotated. Lineage: Eukaryota; Metazoa; Chordata; Mammalia; Rodentia; Bathyergidae. The record is from RefSeq and is a predicted model, not a curated record.